RNAcentral lists this long non-coding RNA (1107 nucleotides) under Citrus sinensis (sweet orange). RNAcentral's name for it is "long non-coding RNA (CSIN_LNC004114)". Lineage: Eukaryota; Viridiplantae; Streptophyta; Magnoliopsida; Sapindales; Rutaceae. The record is from RNAcentral.
UAUGUAACAUUUACAAGUUUUUGUUUUGUUUACAAAUUCUUCUUACAAUUUACAACUCUAACAUUAAUUUACCUAUUUUUCCAUUAAUUUACUAGUUGUAUGUGUGGUUUACAAAUUUUUUGUUUUAUUUAACACUUAAUGUCAAUUUACAAGUUCUAUGUAAUUUUUCUAAAUUUUGGUUUUGUUUACAAGUUCUUCUUACAAUUUACAACUCCAACAUUAAUUUACCAAUUUUUUCAUUAAUUUACUAGUUUUAUGUGUGAUUUACACAUUUUUUGUUUCAUUUCACAAUUAAUGUCAAUUUACUAGUUGUAUGUCAUUUUUCUAAGUUUUUGUUUUGUUUACAAGUUCUUCUUGCAUUUUACAACUCCAACAUUAAUUUACUCAGUUUUCCAUCAAUUUACUAGUUUUAUGUGUGAUUUACACACUUUUUGUUUCAUUUCACACUUAAUGUCAAUUUACUAGUUGUAUGUCAUUUUUCUAAGUUUUUCACACUUAACGUCAAUUUACAAGUUCUAUGUUAUUUUUCUAAGUUUUUAUUUUGUUUACAAGUUCUUCAUCCAAUUUACAACUCUAACAUUAAUUUACUCAAUUUUCCAUCAAUUUACUAGUUUUAUGUGUGAUUUACAUAUUUUUUGUUUCAUUUCACACUUAAUGUCAAUUUAUUAGCUCUAUGUCAUUUUUCUAAUUUUGUUUUGUUUACAAGUUCUUCUUACAAUUUACAACUCCAACAUUAAUUUACCAAUUUUUUUCAUUAAUUUACUAGUUUUAUGUGUGAUUUACAUAUUUUUUGUUUCAUUUCACACUUAAUGUCAAUUUACAAGUUCUAUGUCAUUUUUCUAAGUUUUUGUUUUGUUUACAAGUUCUUCUUGCAAUUUACAACUCCAACAUUAUUUUACUCAUUUUUUCAUUAAUUUACCGGUUUUAUGUGUGAUUUACAAAUUUAUUGUUUCAUUUCACACUUAAUGUCAAUUUGCGAGUUCUGCUGUACGGCCAAGGCGGAUGUACGGUACAGCAGGUUCCAUCUGUAUAUUCCGGCAGAGCAUAUCGAUAUCGGGAUCCCACCAAGCCGGCUCAAUGAGCACCCUUUUGGCGAUCCUAGAUCCU